UACAGAGGUCCCAAGCGUUGUUCGGAUUCAUUGGGCGUAAAGGGUGUGUAGGUGGCGCCGUAAGUCGGGUGUGAAAUCUCGGGGCUUAACUCCGAAACUGCAUUCGAUACUGCGGUGCUUGAGGACUGGAGAGGAGACUGGAAUUCAUGGUGUAGCAGUGAAAUGCGUAGAGAUCAUGAGGAAGACUAGUGGCGAAGGCGGGUCUCUGGACAGUUCCUGACACUGAGACACGAAGGCCAGGGGAGCAAACGGG
This 253-nucleotide ribosomal RNA is filed under the name uncultured bacterium. RNAcentral describes it as "partial 16S ribosomal RNA". It matches the Rfam family "Bacterial small subunit ribosomal RNA", at positions 524 to 776 of the family's 1533-position model. The record is from RNAcentral.